UGCGGGGGGGGCAAGCGUUGUUCGGAAUUACUGGGCGUAAAGGGCUCGUAGGUGGCCAACUAAGUCAGACGUGAAAUCCCUCGGCUUAACCGGGGAACUGCGUCUGAUACUGGAUGGCUUGAGUUCGGGAGAGGGAUGCGGAAUUCCAGGUGUAGCGGUGAAAUGCGUAGAUAUCAGGAGGAACACCGGUGGCGAAGGCGGGUCUCUGGGCCGAUACUGACGCUGAGGAGCGAAAGCGUGGGGAGCGAACAGG
Molecule: ribosomal RNA, 253 nt
Filed under: uncultured bacterium
Lineage: Bacteria
Description: partial 16S ribosomal RNA
Rfam family: Bacterial small subunit ribosomal RNA
Source: RNAcentral